UGGGGAAUAUUGCACAAUGGGCGAAAGCCUGAUGCAGCGACGCCGCGUGAGGGAUGACGGCCUUCGGGUUGUAAACCUCUUUCAUCAGGGAAGAAGCGGACGUGACGGUACCUGCAGAACAAGCACCGGCUAACUACGUGCCG
Molecule: ribosomal RNA, 143 nt
Filed under: uncultured bacterium
Lineage: Bacteria
Description: partial 16S rRNA
Rfam family: Bacterial small subunit ribosomal RNA
Source: RNAcentral